UGCACAAACAACAAGAUGAUG
This 21-nucleotide non-coding RNA is filed under the name Caenorhabditis elegans. The record is from RNAcentral. Lineage: Eukaryota; Metazoa; Nematoda; Chromadorea; Rhabditida; Rhabditidae.